AAAACAAGCAAAGUUGGUUAUGUAAAAGAAAUUCUACUAAUCAGCCUAAUGUAUUCUCUUACCACAAUUUACAAUACGUCUGUAUGCUUAACAUGUGAGGGUAAACAAAACAUUUAUAUUUUACUAGUGAAACAACAUUUCUAUUUGUUUAAGAGGCAGGUCCCUGCAUUCCCUAUACUGAUUUUGUUCAAAGAAAUAGUUCACAAAGAAUUCCUGUACCCCAACAUAUACUUACUUUAAACCAAGUAUCCUAAUAUUGGCAA
Oxyura jamaicensis (ruddy duck) is the source of this 263-nucleotide long non-coding RNA. RefSeq lists it as uncharacterized. The record is from RefSeq and is a predicted model, not a curated record. NCBI's taxonomy places the organism in Eukaryota, Metazoa, Chordata, Aves, Anseriformes, Anatidae. The transcript has 3 exons.